UGGGGAAUAUUGGACAAUGGGCGCAAGCCUGAUCCAGCCAUGCCGCGUGUGUGAAGAAGGCCUUUUGGUUGUAAAGCACUUUAAGCGAGGAGGAGGCUACUUGGAUUAAUACUCUAAGAUAGUGGACGUUACUCGCAGAAUAAGCACCGGCUAACUCUGUGCCAGCAGCCGCGGUAAUACAGAGGGUGCGAGCGUUAAUCGGAUUUACUGGGCGUAAAGCGUGCGUAGGCGGCUUCUUAAGUCGGAUGUGAAAUCCCUGAGCUUAACUUAGGAAUUGCAUUCGAUACUGGGAAGCUAGAGUAUGGGAGAGGAUGGUAGAAUUCCAGGUGUAGCGGUGAAAUGCGUAGAGAUCUGGAGCAAUACCGAUGGCGAAGGCAGCCAUCUGGCCUAAUACUGACGCUGAGGUACGAAAGCAUGGGGAGCAAACAGG
RNAcentral lists this ribosomal RNA (430 nucleotides) under bacterium. RNAcentral's name for it is "partial 16S ribosomal RNA". It matches the Rfam family "Bacterial small subunit ribosomal RNA", at positions 355 to 776 of the family's 1533-position model. The record is from RNAcentral.